RNAcentral lists this transfer RNA (78 nucleotides) under Klenkia terrae. Its description in RNAcentral is "partial tRNA-Proline (CGG)". It matches the Rfam family "tRNA". Rfam says of the family: Transfer RNA (tRNA) molecules are approximately 80 nucleotides in length. Lineage: Bacteria; Bacillati; Actinomycetota; Actinomycetes; Geodermatophilales; Geodermatophilaceae. The record is from RNAcentral.
CGGGGUGUGGCGCAGCUUGGUAGCGCGCGUCGUUCGGGACGACGAGGCCGCAGGUUCAAAUCCUGUCACCCCGACCAC